GGUUAUUGGCUUCUUUUUAUUUGGUUAAAGAACAUUAUGAAAUUUUAAACAUUGGUGUAGUCUGAUUACCAAUAAAAUUUCAUCUAUAUGGAGCUGAUGGUACUAAAUUUCAAAAAGCCUUUCUGCCUAGUUUGGACCAGAGGAUAUUCUUGAUAGAGCUCAUCUCAGAAUCACUUGGAGUCCCAUGUGUCUAUGCAAAACCAUUAAUCUCAAAAUGUGUCUAAACACCAACUUUGAGACAGGCUGCAAUUUACUGUUCUCUGUGACAGACAAAUAGCUAGGGGAGAGCUGUCAUUUAACCCCAAUGCUUUCUUUGGUAGUCAGGGAAAGAAAGGUUUUUUUUAUACUGCCUUGUCAUAAAACAACUACAAAAUCCAUCAAUGUGGUAUAACUUUACAUAUAAAAGUAAUACUAUGCAUAGAUAUUUUAGUCAUCGUGUGAAAAAUAAACAAGACAGCCUGUAAAUCAAUGUCAUUCCCAAGGAAUCAUCAUGGACAUGUAUUGACUGAUUUUAUAGCUAAAAUAGAAAAUAGAUGUAAAUUUGACGGUUCUGUUUUGACAGAGAUGCUUUUGGCCAUACCACCAACCUGUGUACACAAACACCAAAUUAGGAAGGAGUCUCAUUUACAAAAGCUGAGCUUGUCCUCUUUAUAGGUGUUCAGAUAUCAUUAGGUUAGAUUAAGUUCCUGAUUAUGAGAUAUGUAUUUUGCAAAAUGCACGUUAACCUAAAAGCCUGGCAUAAAUUAGGACACAAAAG
Molecule: long non-coding RNA, 757 nt
Filed under: Bos taurus (domestic cattle)
Lineage: Eukaryota; Metazoa; Chordata; Mammalia; Artiodactyla; Bovidae
Description: long non-coding RNA NONBTAT016458
Source: RNAcentral